UACAGAGGUCCCGAGCGUUGUUCGGAUUCACUGGGCGUAAAGCGUGCGCAGGCGGUUUUGUAAGCCAGAUGUGAAAUCCCCGGGCUUAACCUGGGAAUGGCAUUUGGGACUGCAAGGCUGGAGUGCGGCAGAGGAGACUGGAAUUCCUGGUGUAGCAGUGAAAUGCGUAGAUAUCAGGAGGAACACCGAUGGCGAAGGCAGGUCUCUGGGCUGACACUGACGCUCAACUACGAAAGCGUGGGGAGCAAACAGG
RNAcentral lists this ribosomal RNA (253 nucleotides) under uncultured bacterium. RNAcentral describes it as "partial 16S ribosomal RNA". It matches the Rfam family "Bacterial small subunit ribosomal RNA", at positions 524 to 776 of the family's 1533-position model. The record is from RNAcentral.